RNAcentral lists this ribosomal RNA (637 nucleotides) under uncultured bacterium. RNAcentral's name for it is "bacterial SSU rRNA". It matches the Rfam family "Bacterial small subunit ribosomal RNA", at positions 28 to 661 of the family's 1533-position model. The record is from RNAcentral.
GAUGAACGCUGGCGGCGUGCCUAACACAUGCAAGUCGAACGGGGUUAUUUUGGAAAGUUCCUUCGGGGACUGGAAUCUUUAACCUAGUGGCGGACGGGUGAGUAACGCGUGAGCAAUCUGCCUUUAGGAGGGGGAUAACAGUCGGAAACGGCUGCUAAUACCGCAUAAUGUAUGUCCUUCGCAUGUUGGAUAUACCAAAGGAGCAAUCCGCCUUUAGAUGAGCUCGCGUCUGAUUAGCUAGUUGGCGGGGUAACGGCCCACCAAGGCGACGAUCAGUAGCCGGACUGAGAGGUUGAACGGCCACAUUGGGACUGAGACACGGCCCAGACUCCUACGGGAGGCAGCAGUGGGGAAUAUUGCGCAAUGGGGGCAACCCUGACGCAGCAACGCCGCGUGAUUGAAGAAGGCCUUCGGGUUGUAAAGAUCUUUAAUCAGGGACGAAACAUGACGGUACCUGAAGAAUAAGCUCCGGCUAACUACGUGCCAGCAGCCGCGGUAAUACGUAGGGAGCAAGCGUUAUCCGGAUUUACUGGGUGUAAAGGGCGCGCAGGCGGGCCGGCAAGUUGGGAGUGAAAUCCCGGGGCUUAACCCCGGAACUGCUUUCAAAACUGCUGGUCUUGAGUGAUGGAGAGGCAGG